Molecule: ribosomal RNA, 816 nt
Filed under: Triticum aestivum (bread wheat)
Lineage: Eukaryota; Viridiplantae; Streptophyta; Magnoliopsida; Poales; Poaceae
Description: partial small subunit ribosomal RNA
Source: RNAcentral
AUGGCCGUUGUCUUCUCUUCCCGCACAGGGCAAUGGCGAGCCCUGACUCGGAGCGUGUCGUUGCCUCUACCGGAUUUCACAUGGAUGGUUCACUUCAGGUCGCGCCAUUACGCCCAUGGCUGCUUCUACUGGAUUUCAGGUGAAAAAUUGUUGGUGCUUGACAUUCAGAGGAUGGAGUUCUCCAUGGCUGACCACCCACCUUGUGCCAGAGCUCCGAGCGAUGAUGUGGCCAUCGCGGAGGCAGGCCAAGGCACGAUUCGGAUGUUUGUGCCUACACCCAACACAGCUCGCCGUAGUUUUACGGUUUGGCGAAACAAUGGUGGGAGUUCCUCCCAGUGGCAGUGGCAGAUGGAGAAUGAGACAAUCUCGCUGCCUUCUGGGUCCUUGCUCAUGGGUGCAGUGGGGAGGCACUUGCUCCUAUAUCAUGUCGGAAGCUCGUCGAUCAGGCGAGGUUGUUACACGCGGGGCGUCGACACAUUUCAGUUUGAGAGGGUGUGUGGUUCUGCUUCAUUGCCCAAACCGUCUCAUGUAUAUUGCAACUUUCCACCGUCGUUAUUAUCGUCACCGACAGUGUCAAGUGCCACACCCCACGCUGACGUCCGAGGAGAGGGGGGAGCUGUGCAGGUGCCUGAACCACAAGAAGUCGAUGCUGGAGGCAUGGAAGGGUCCGUCCUCUCAGUGGCUGCCGAAGCUCCAAACCCCUUGUUCGUCGUUGAUGACGAAGCAGAGGCCGGUUGUGGUGGGCGAGGAGGAGGCGCUGGGGCCGGUGCAGGGGCUGGACCUCCGGAGGGUGCAGGGGCGGGUGGCAUAGCUUGA